RNAcentral lists this ribosomal RNA (496 nucleotides) under uncultured bacterium. RNAcentral's name for it is "partial 16S ribosomal RNA". It matches the Rfam family "Bacterial small subunit ribosomal RNA", at positions 29 to 507 of the family's 1533-position model. The record is from RNAcentral.
AUGAACGCUGGCGGCGUGCCUAAUACAUGCAAGUCGAGCGAACAGACGAGGAGCUUGCUCCUCUGACGUUAGCGGCGGACGGGUGAGUAACACGUGGAUAACCUACCUAUAAGAAUGGGAUAACUUCGGGAAACCGGAGCUAAUACCGGAUAAUAUAUUGAACCGCAUGGUUCAAUAGUGAAAGACGGUUUUGCUGUCACUUAUAGAUGGAUCCGCGCCGCAUUAGCUAGUUGGUAAGGUAACGGCUUACCAAGGCAACGAUGCGUAGCCGACCUGAGAGGGUGAUCGGCCACACUGGAACUGAGACACGGUCCAGACUCCUACGGGAGGCAGCAGUAGGGAAUCUUCCGCAAUGGGCGAAAGCUUGACGGAGCAACGCCGCGUGAGUGAUGAAGGUCUUCGGAUCGUAAAACUCUGUUAUUAGGGAAGAACAAAUGUGUAAGUAACUAUGCACGUCUUGACGGUACCUAAUCAGAAAGCCACGGCUAACUACGUG